AGUGAACGCUGGCGGUAUGCCUAACACAUGCAAGUCGAACGGCAGCACAGUAAGAUCUUGCUCUUCCCGUUGGCGAGUGGCUUACGGAUCAGUAGUACAUCCGCCUCUACUUUUUCGUGGGGGAUAACGUAGGGAAACUUACUCUAAUACCGCAUACGACCUACGGUUGAAAGCAGGAGAUCUUCUGCCCUUGCGCUUUUUAAUGCGCCGAUGUCGGAUUAGGUAGUUGGCGGGGUCAAGGCCCACCACGGCGACGAUCCGUAGCUGGUCUGAGAGGAUGACCAGCAACACUGAGACUGAGAGACGGGCCAGAGGCCGACAGGAGGCAGCAGUGGGGAAUAUUGGAAGAGGGGCGCAAGACUGAUCCAGACAUGCAGGGCGGGUGAAGAAGGGCUGCGGGUGGUAAAACCCUUUUGGUGGGAAAGAAAAGCAGCAGGUUAAUAACCGGAUGUUCUGACGGUACCUAAAGAAUAAGCACCGGCUAACUACGUG
This 492-nucleotide ribosomal RNA is filed under the name uncultured bacterium. Its description in RNAcentral is "partial 16S ribosomal RNA". It matches the Rfam family "Bacterial small subunit ribosomal RNA", at positions 29 to 507 of the family's 1533-position model. The record is from RNAcentral.